UGUAGCUGAGUGGGUAAAGCAUUUGCCUAGCGUGCAAGAAGCCCUGAGUUCAAUCCCCAGCA
RNAcentral lists this transfer RNA (62 nucleotides) under Mus musculus (house mouse). It matches the Rfam family "tRNA", at positions 6 to 65 of the family's 71-position model. From Rfam's summary of the family: Transfer RNA (tRNA) molecules are approximately 80 nucleotides in length. Their secondary structure includes four short double-helical elements and three loops (D, anti-codon, and T loops). The record is from Rfam by way of RNAcentral. Lineage: Eukaryota; Metazoa; Chordata; Mammalia; Rodentia; Muridae.